AAAAUAUACACAUAAUUGCUAUUGGUUAUCUCUGGGUGGUGCAAGCAUGGGGGAAUUUUUUAUUUUGCUUUUGUUCAUAUUUUCUAAAUCUAUAAUCAACAUCUAUGUGGUAAGAAGAAAAGCAUGUGUUUUUGCUGAGCCCUGUGCACCUCGUCAGUAGCGAGUGAGUGGUGGUCACCAUCUGGGAGCAUUUAUUCCCAUCAUUCCGUGUUCUUCCUUCCUCAUCCACGCAUGCUAGUUAGCCUUGGUCAUAGGGGUUGAGGUAGUGGGUACUUUGUGACCAUCCCUAGUUUCCACAGUAAGAAUAUAAGCUUUCUAACCAAAAUUAUAUUCUGUCUGUUUUUUCAUCAAGGUGGAUCCAACCGAAGAGAAAGGGGUGCCCCACCCCUCCCUCCCAUCCCGAGGUGAUCCUUGCCUGCUCUUCUCUCUCCAGACUCCAGAGCACCUUCUCUUGUUUGCUGUCUGAGAAUUACACACCUUCCUCCCCUGUCCCUUGUCCUCUUCAUUUAUGGCAAGAAGGAAAAAGAGAGGGUGAGGGGAAUUUCUGUGUGAGGAGGGUGAGGAUCCAGUAGAGAAAUGCACCUAGCUUUUUAUAUCCUGUAUAUUUUCACAGCUUUCGCUUGCUUCAGCUACAGCCUGCUCGUGCUGGCUUUGAGAUCCAUAGCCUUUUGUGCAGAUAGGCAGAGAUGCAUUGUAUCCCUGCCCUCAACCCAACCUUCACUGCAUUUGCUACAGGCUAUAAUUAUGAAAGCCCCCGAGAACUGUUAUCGCCUAUGCUUUUUUCGAAUGCUUGGCCUCCUGUGAGUCUGUGUUCAGGAACCCAGACCACUGAGAUAAGUUGCCGAGCAAGGGCUCACACAAAGCUUUUGCAGUUACAGGAUGCCCGGUCGUGGGCAUUCUGAGGUAGGCUGGAGGACAGAGCUGUCCAAUAGAAAUAUAAUGUGAGCCCUGUAUACAGUUUUAAAAUUUCUACUAGGCACAUUUUUGUAAAGGUAAAAAGAAACAGGAGAAAUUAAUUUUAAUAUAUUUCACUUAUACCUACACAUCCAAAAUAUCAUUUCAACCUCUAAUCCAUAUAAGAAUUAUUAAUGAGAUAUUUUACAUUCUUUUUGGUACUAAGUGCUCCAGACCCAGGGUGUUUCUGUACUUAGAGCACAUUUCCAUUUGGACUAAUUACAUGACAAGUGGUCAGUGGCCACAUGUGCUGAGUGGCCACUCUCUUGGACAGCACAGGUCGGGAAGAUGGAAGUUAGUUCAAAAACCUCUUGUUUAAAAAGCAAAAAUAGCUAAAUGAGCUUUAGCAAUUCAAGACAUACCUAAAAAUAAAGUUAGGACCCAACACUUUAUUUGGCAGGCAGCUUGACCCUAGAUUUUGGUCCCUUCCUUUUCCUCUUCCCUUCAUGUCUGUGUACAAGUGUUGCUUCACAGUAUCAAGGUCAGAAAUGGAUCUUAUACGGUUUACAGUGACAUGGAAUAAAGCCAUCAGAAAGAAACUGAAAGCCAGUUGGGGCUUCCAGGCUCAGCACCAGCUGCCUUGUGCAUUCACUUGUCAGUCAGAUGCCUGCCUUGCAGAUUUGAAGUGGCCUUUGUUUCCUUCCCACUGAGUAAGCUCCUCAGGGCCAGGAAUGGCAAGGAAGCUAGCUAGGUGGGAGGGGAGGAAAGAGAAAGGUAUCAAGACAGAAGCACAGAAGUGCAUGACAGAUUUGAGUUGAUGGGCAAAACUCUCAAAAAUCUAAAUCUGAUGCUUAUGGGGUUGACUGAAUUAGGGAGCUUGCUACUAGAAUUAGGGGGUUACUUUGAAUCUAUCCAGUAGAAUCAUUUAACUUAGAUCUAUGCAAAUAGAGCUCCACUAAAGGACCAGGAGGAGGAGCCAACCUUGCCUUUUUUUAAUGUGAUUUUGUUUACAAAAUUUUACUGGGACUUUUAAAUCUAGCUAUAGAGUUGGAAAAAAUACUUCCACUUUGAUGUUUUAUAUGGUUAUGUUUAAAAUUGCCAUUACUCGUUUUUUAAAAGCACAUGACUACAUAUAUAUAUAUAUGUAUAUCUACCUAAACUUUGUAUCAGUUUAUCGAAUUCAGUGUAUUGAUCAUGUGUUACUGGGAGAUGCUAAUAAGAAAUCAAUCCAAAGAAAAAAUUGAAAGAUGCAUUCCUAUUUAUAGAAUAAAUAACUUUCAUUUAUAUAAAAGCAGAAGAACUUAACAGUUCUAAUAAAUGGAAUGUGUAAUAAAUUAUGAAGUUACCAAUUUGAAUAUAUUGUACUUUUAUAACUUCCCUUGCCAAAGUCCUGGGCUUAGUACAUUGGAGAACUUGUUUUCUUCCCCCUCUAUUGCCAUUCCUCUAUCUUAUGGCUACAUUCACUAGGGGCUGUUACUUAGAAUCAAAAAAUAUAAAGGGAUAUAACAAGCUUGGCCAAAAUAUUUUUUUAUUUUUUGUUCCUAAUUUGGUAAUUUAGCAGCAUGAUUUUAUUUUGGGUUCUUUGUCCAGAUGUCAACAGUGACUAAUACCUGUAUGAUAAAGCCUAAUGACCCAAAAAAAUACCAUUGGGCCUUCCUAACAAAUUGACAGAGAAAAGUCUGACCCAAAGAAAGCAGGUCUGAAUUUUAUAAAGGGUAAAAUUUGUAGAGGGAAUUGGACAAGUCUUUGUAUAUCUCAACUUUGCAGGUACCUUUCUAAAGUAUGAAACAGAGUAACAGCUCAAAGUUGCCUUUCAUCCAGAAUAGAGAUGUUUCAGAACAUAUUUUAAGAGAAUGUUUCAUGAAUACACCUACACCCUUUCUUUGAAAGUUAGCAACUAAUUACAUCCACAACUUUGAACAAGUUCUAUACUAAAAUCUUUAACUGUGGAAAAUCAUGAAAAUGAGCAUUUCCUUCCCUUGAAAUCAGAGCUCACGUGUGUUUUUCCGUAAGACUUCCAAAUAAAUAUAUUCAAGAGGCAAUACAGUAUUUUAACAUUCACAUAUCAUUUUAUAUUGAAAUGUAUUACAGUAUUAAAAUUCAGUGUUCUGUAUUUAUUUCACUAUGCAUUUUAUUUAGCAAAAGCCAAGAAAAAUAUUUAAUCCAAUGGUGCCUUACUUUGUGAUUUGAAAGAAAUCAACUUUUUAUGUCUAAGUAGCAGAUUAUUUGCAUAUUUGUAAAAACUGUUAGACCUUUAUCUUUUAACUUGUAAUACCAAUUUUGUUAUUUUAGUAGCCGAAAUGAAAUAGUUAUUAAAGUGCCCUAACAUUUUGGUAUGAAAUUAAUUUUCCCCUGUUUAUAGUCAGGGACUAUAGAAGAAUAAAAAUAUUUUUUUCAUAUCAUUGCACUGUGUAAACAGACACAUCUUGGUAUCUGUGUCAUCAGGAUAGUUUAAAUGGUAGGGUAGAAUCUACCCUAGACAUCUACGUCUUUGUAAGUUAGCCAGACAAUAAAUAAAAGCAGAAUGAUACAGUGUC
This is a long non-coding RNA of Heterocephalus glaber (naked mole-rat), 3431 nucleotides long. The record is from Ensembl. NCBI's taxonomy places the organism in Eukaryota, Metazoa, Chordata, Mammalia, Rodentia, Bathyergidae.